GAAUAUUUGACAAUGGGCGAAAGCCUGAUCCAGCCAUGCCGCGUGUGUGAAGAAGGCCUUCGGAUUGUAAAGCACUUUAAGUUGGGAGGAAGGGCAGUAAGCGACUACCUUGCUGUUUUGACGUUACCGCCAGAAUAAGCCCCGGCUAACUCUGUGCCAGCAGCCGCGGUAAGGCAGAGGGUGCAAGAGUUAAUCGGAAUUACUGGGCGUAAAGCGGGCGUAGGUGGUUCGUUAAGUUGGAUGUGAAAUCCCCGGGCUCAACCGGGGAACUGCAUCCAAAACUGGCGAGCUAGAGUAGGGCAGAGGGUGGUAGAAUUUCCUGUGUAGCGGUGAAAUGCGUAGAUAUAGGAAGGAACACCAGUGGCGAAGGCAACCACCUGGGCUCAUACUGACACUGAGGUGCGAAAGCGUGGGGAGCAAACA
RNAcentral lists this ribosomal RNA (423 nucleotides) under uncultured bacterium. RNAcentral's name for it is "partial 16S ribosomal RNA". It matches the Rfam family "Bacterial small subunit ribosomal RNA", at positions 359 to 774 of the family's 1533-position model. The record is from RNAcentral.